RNAcentral lists this ribosomal RNA (279 nucleotides) under uncultured bacterium. RNAcentral's name for it is "partial 16S ribosomal RNA". It matches the Rfam family "Bacterial small subunit ribosomal RNA", at positions 506 to 784 of the family's 1533-position model. The record is from RNAcentral.
UGCCAGCAGCCGCGGUAAUACGAAGGGACCUAGCGUAGUUCGGAAUUACUGGGCUUAAAGAGUUCGUAGGUGGUUAAAAAAGUUGGAUGUGAAACCCCAAGGCUUAACCUUGGAACUGCCACCAAAACUUUUUAACUAGAGUAUGAUAGAGGUAAGCGGAAUUUCUAGUGUAGAGGUGAAAUUCGUAGAUAUUAGAAAGAACACCAAUUGCGAAGGCAGUUUACUGGAUCAUUACUGACACUGAGGAGCGAAAGCAUGGGUAGCGAAGAGGAUUAGAUA